Molecule: ribosomal RNA, 274 nt
Filed under: uncultured bacterium
Lineage: Bacteria
Description: partial 16S ribosomal RNA
Rfam family: Bacterial small subunit ribosomal RNA
Source: RNAcentral
AUACGUAGGGUGCGAGCGUUAAUCGGAAUUACUGGGCGUAAAGCGUGCGCAGGUGGUUUUGUAAGUCAGAUGUGAAAUCCCCGGGCUUAACCUGGGAACUGCGUUUGAAACUGCAAGGCUCGAGUGUGGCAGAGGGGGGUGGAAUUCCGCGUGUAGCAGUGAAAUGCGUAGAGAUGUGGAGGAACACCAAUGGCGAAGGCAGCCCCCUGGGUCAACACUGACGCUCAGGCACGAAAGCAUGGGGAGCAAACAGGAUUAGAUACCCCAGUAGUCC